AAUUUGAAAUUUUCUUUCUCUUCCUGUUCUCUCAUUUUUGUAUUUCUCUAUUUGUUCUCUCAUUUUUGUAUUUCUCUAUUUUUCCUCUCUUGUUCAUUUUUUCUUUUUUGCUGUUCCUUAGGAGACCUUAGCUGUUUUCAUCAUGUACGCUUAGUUCAUUUUGCUUGAUGAAUGAAACAGGUAGCUCGCUACCUCUUUCUUUAAAAAAAAAAAAAAAAUUAAUUAAAGCUGAGAAAAAAGAUGAGAUAAAAGAUAUUUUAAAAGACUAUCGGGUUGCAUAUAAUAAUAAUAAUAUCUGCACUAUAAUUUUAAUU
Molecule: long non-coding RNA, 314 nt
Filed under: Ananas comosus (pineapple)
Lineage: Eukaryota; Viridiplantae; Streptophyta; Magnoliopsida; Poales; Bromeliaceae
Description: long non-coding RNA (ACOM_LNC033362)
Source: RNAcentral